CCUACGGGGUGCAGCAGUGGGGAAUAUUGCGCAAUGGGCGAAAGCCUGACGCAGCGACGCCGCGUGAGGGAUGAAGGUCUUCGGAUCGUAAACCUCUGUCAGCAGGGAAGAACGGUCACUGUGCUAAUCAGCAGUGAAUUGACGGUACCUGCAAAGGAAGCACCGGCUAACUCCGUGCCAGCAGCCGCGGUAAUACGGAGGGUGCGAGCGUUAAUCGGAAUUACUGGGCGUAAAGCGCUCGUAGGCGGUAUGUCAAGUCAAGGGUGAAAUCCCCGCGCUCAACGUGGGAACUGCCUUUGAAACUGGCAAACUGGAGUGUGUGAGAGGAUAGUGGAAUUCCAGGUGUAGGAGUGAAAGCCGUAGAUAUCUGGAGGAACAUCAGUGGCGAAGGAGACUAUCUGGCACAUAACUGACGCUGAGGAGCGAAAGCGUGGGUAGCAAACAGGAUUAGAUACCCCUGUAGUC
RNAcentral lists this ribosomal RNA (465 nucleotides) under uncultured bacterium. RNAcentral's name for it is "partial 16S ribosomal RNA". It matches the Rfam family "Bacterial small subunit ribosomal RNA", at positions 338 to 795 of the family's 1533-position model. The record is from RNAcentral.